GAAUUAGCCCGUCACCUCCGACCUGGAACUCUGCGUGCUGUCUUUGGGAAGGACAAGAUUCAGAAUGCUGUUCACUGCACAGACCUUCCUGAAGACGGGCUUUUGGAGGUGCAGUACUUCUUCAAGAUUCUGGACAACUAACAGCCUCCAUCCUCACCCCUUGCAAAAGAUGCACACAGAACAGUGUGUUCAUUCAUUUAUUUGUCCAAUGUUUCAACCUGACUGAAAUACAAGAUCAACAAGAGCACUGUACUCCUGGCUAUUAUUACAUGUUAGAACAUAGAGUUUUGCACUUUAGACAACAUUUAACACCAUUCUAUGGGGUACUGCAUUGCUUUUAUAAAGUUUAAAAUAAAGUUUUAUUUUCAAACAUGUGACUUUGGUUUAUUUCAUACAUUACACUUUCUUGCAGAAAAAAUAAAAUUGUACAACUGCAUAAAUAUAAAAUUCUUCCACCAUGAAAAUGGCUAAAACAUUCAAUAAAGACAUUAGCACCACAGUGUGCGAUGCCUUCAGCAGG
This is a long non-coding RNA of Lepidothrix coronata (blue-crowned manakin), 520 nucleotides long. RefSeq lists it as uncharacterized. The record is from RefSeq and is a predicted model, not a curated record. NCBI's taxonomy places the organism in Eukaryota, Metazoa, Chordata, Aves, Passeriformes, Pipridae. The transcript is spliced from 2 exons.